Molecule: long non-coding RNA, 2163 nt
Organism: Pongo abelii (Sumatran orangutan)
Lineage: Eukaryota; Metazoa; Chordata; Mammalia; Primates; Hominidae
Source: Ensembl
AGAGGAAAAUCCAUUGAAAUUAGUUUAAAAUAUACAUCUGAUCCUAUUUUACAAUAUAUGCAAUUUAAGCAAUUCAGAUCAAUGAAAAAGUCUUAACCAAAAAAAUCACAGUGUUUAUCAAUGUUAAUUACAAAAUGUAUGCUACUUGUUUUGUUUUUAAGAUGUAAUGGCUUGGUUAAGUGUUUUAAAAUCUAUUCUUCUGAAAUCUAACUUGCGUAACAAAAUCAAGUAGCAAUAAUGUAAAGCAUCAGAACUGGCUCUUAAAAGAUUAUUUACAUGUUGAUUAUUUGGGAAAUAACCAACCAAAAAAUAUAAAAAAGUGAUUUUUUUUUUUUACACAGUAUGAAGUCAUUGAAGAGAUUAGACAAUACAAAAAGCAAAAUUCUUUCCUGAAUAAAUGAAUACCUGUGGCACUAAGUUCACUCGCUAAUGGACUGUAACACGGAACUGCCAAACAUGCAUUUAAGUUAUAUUAAUUACACUUUCUGUUUCCAACUUAGGUUGAUCAGCAGCUUUGUUCUGUUAGAAUCCUUCAAAGAGAGAAGCUCAAACAGGAAAAAGAAGGCAUAUAUAAAACAGUAAACACUGACCUCCUGAGGUUCCUACAACAUAAAAAUAUUCAAGUAGAAAAUCUACAUCACUUAGCAGCGGCUAUUUCUGUAGUUGAGCACACUAACAGCAUUUUAGUGUGUAAGGAGCAGAUGAAGUAAGCCGUGCUUUAAGCAUGCCAAGAGGCAGAAACACUGGAAUGUAACAAAGACAAACUCACAAUUUCAUAGACAUUCAGUCAACAUUCAAAACUAUUAAGACUACACCACAAGAAUUAAGUUGCUUUAUAUAUAUCCCAUGAUGUAUUAGGUUUUAUCAGAAUAAAUGCUAAAUCAGAGCUUACCUCAAAAGAUAACUUAAAUGGCUUCUGCAAAUUCCUGUUCUACACUAUGUAUCUGAAAUAUAAAUUAGGAAGAAACAAUAACCUCAAGGGUGAAAAGUACACAAAAAAUCCCAACUCAAAUUCAGAUUGCCAGUCAUAUUUACCUAAUUUUAUUUUCUAUUUUCAAAUUAAAUUUCAUUUAAAUACAAAAAAAGUCAAGUGAUUACAAAACUGGGUGCAUUUUUAAUAGUGUUAUUCAUCUGCCUAACUGGAAACUAAUUUUUAACGAGACAGGUGACAAUAUUGCCUUUAGUCAAUACAGAAUUGUCAACCACAGGUUCAAAUAACUUUACUGAAGAUUGUUAUGUGUUUAAAUUGAAUUUGGUCAUGUCCAUUUAAAAUACUAUCUAUUCCAGAAUAUUAAUCUCUCAUAUUAGAAUUCUAAGUAUUUGAAGCACUACAGAGUAUCACUAUAAUCUAAGAAUAAAACAGCUACUCUACUCAGUUAUUAAAAGACUAACAGGGAGGCAAAUUUUGAGCUCCCAGUGAAGCAACGGUACUAGAAAACAAAAUGCUGUAUACCCUUUGAAUCCAACUUAUAAUUUUAAAAAUAUCAGGCACUAUAAAAUAAUUUAAUUUCAGGCUCUACAGACUGAAAUUUGCAAAGCCAAAGUAGAGGAAAGGUGAAAGAACAUGUUAAAAAACAGAACAAAACGAAACAAAACAAAACACACACACACACAGUAACAAAAACCUUUCUACAUGCUACCAUGCAUUUGAAAUUUUUGAAACAGUAUAAAUUCACACGCACACAGCUCAAACUUCAGUGCAAUGGCUGUAUCAUUCAACACUUUUAGAGAAUAGAACCAUGCAAAGAGGAGCAACUGCUUAUAAAAAUGGUUAUUCAGUAUUUAUUCUGCAAUGCAAACGUGACAAACUAAAAUAUAAAAAGGCUGUUAUGGCUUAACAUUUUUGUUGCAGAUUAAAUAUGCAGCAUUGAAAAAUGGAAAGGCGUGGCUUCAUCUCUGACCAGCAGAGUUAAAAAGAAAAAUCUCUCCAUUUUCCUUCAUCAUCAUGGGAUACACUGUUCAGGCAAUCCAAAUUAAUAAAGACUUGCACUUUCAUAUGAACACAAGAUCAAGUGUACCAGUUAGGUUUUCACAUUCACAGUAUAUAAGAAAAUACACAUGGAAGGAAAAGUAAAGGGUUAACUUAACAAGGAUUUAUUCACAGGAAUACAUGUAAGUAGAGAAAAAUAACAGAAAAGCUAAACAAAUGAAAUGAAGAGGAUC